AAUAGAUACCCAGGUAGUCCACGCCGUAAACGAUGAGUGCUAAGUGUUAGGGGGUUUCCGCCCCUUAGUGCUGCAGCUAACGCAUUAAGCACUCCGCCUGGGGAGUACGGUCGCAAGACUGAAACUCAAAGGAAUUGACGGGGGCCCGCACAAGCGGUGGAGCAUGUGGUUUAAUUCGAAGCAACGCGAAGAACCUUACCAGGUCUUGACAUCCCAUUGACCACUAUGGAGACAUAGUUUUCCCUUCGGGGACAACGGUGACAGGUGGUACAUGGUUGUCGUCAGCUCGUGUCGUGAGAUGUUGGGUUAAGUCCCGCAACGAGCGCAACCCUUGUUCUUAGUUGCCAUCAUUUAGUUGGGCACUCUAAGGAGACUGCCGGUGACAAACCGGAGGAAGGUGGGGAUGACGUCAAAUCAUCAUGCCCCUUAUGACCUGGGCUACACACGUGCUACAAUGGACGGUACAAACGGUUGCCGACCCGCGAGGGGGAGCUAAUCCGAUAAAACCGUUCUCAGUUCGGAUUGUAGGCUGCAACUCGCCUACA
This 545-nucleotide ribosomal RNA is filed under the name uncultured bacterium. RNAcentral's name for it is "bacterial SSU rRNA". It matches the Rfam family "Bacterial small subunit ribosomal RNA", at positions 777 to 1320 of the family's 1533-position model. The record is from RNAcentral.